Caenorhabditis brenneri is the source of this 73-nucleotide non-coding RNA. Lineage: Eukaryota; Metazoa; Nematoda; Chromadorea; Rhabditida; Rhabditidae. The record is from the annotation of a GenBank genome assembly.
UGCCCGCUGGCCAACAGGUAAUGCUUUUGCCUUCCACCCAGAAGGCCGCGGGUUCAAUUCCGGGUGGUGGCAA